This is a small nuclear RNA of Cercocebus atys (sooty mangabey), 107 nucleotides long. The record is from Ensembl. Lineage: Eukaryota; Metazoa; Chordata; Mammalia; Primates; Cercopithecidae.
GUGCUUGCUUUGGCAACACAUAUACUAAAAUUGGAAUGAUACAGAGAAUAUUAGCAUGGCCCCUGUGUAGGGAUGACAUGGAAACUUGUGAAGCAUUCCAUGAAAAA